UCGAGCGAACAGACGAGGAGCUUGCUCCUCUGACGUUAGCGGCGGACGGGUGAGUAACACGUGGAUAACCUACCUAUAAGACUGGGAUAACUUCGGGAAACCGGAGCUAAUACCGGAUAAUAUAUUGAACCGCAUGGUUCAAUAGUGAAAGACGGUUUUGCUGUCACUUAUAGAUGGAUCGCGCGCCGCAUUAGCUAGUUGGUAAGGUAACGGCUUACCAAGGCAACGAUGCGUAGCCGAGCCUGAGAGGGUGGAUCGGCCACAAUGGAACUGAGACACGGUCCAGACUCCUACGGGAGGCAGCAGUAGGGAAUCUUCCGCAAUGGGCGAAAGCUCGACGGAGCAACGCCGCGUGAGUGAUGAAGGUCUUCGGAUCGUAAAACUCUGUUAUUAGGGAAGAACAAAUGUGUAAGUAACUAUGCACGUCUUGACGGUACCUAAUCAGAAAGCCACGGCUAACUACGUGCCAGCAGCCGCGGUAAUACGUAGGUGGCAAGCGUUAUCCGGAAUUAUUGGGCGUAAAGCGCGCGUAGGCGGUUUUUUAAGUCUGAUGUGAAAGCCCACGGCUCAACCGUGGAGGGUCAUUGGAAACUGGAAAACUUGAGUGCAGAAGAGGAAAGUGGAAUUCCAUGUGUAGCGGUGAAAUGCGCAGAGAUAUGGAGGAACACCAGUGGCGAAGGCG
RNAcentral lists this ribosomal RNA (682 nucleotides) under uncultured Staphylococcus sp. Its description in RNAcentral is "bacterial SSU rRNA". It matches the Rfam family "Bacterial small subunit ribosomal RNA", at positions 62 to 723 of the family's 1533-position model. Lineage: Bacteria; Bacillati; Bacillota; Bacilli; Caryophanales; Staphylococcaceae. The record is from RNAcentral.